AAAAAGAUAAACCCUGGGUUUCCGUGCCAACGUUUGACUGUCCAUCUUAUAUAAAAUUUUUUUAUAAUUAGUAUUUUCAUUGUUGUUAGAUGGUAAAACAUGAUUAAUACUUUAUGCGUGACUUAUUUUUUAAAUUUUUAUCACAAUUUUUUUAAAUAAGACGGACGGUCAAAUGUUGGACACGGAAACCAGGGUUUGUCUUUUU
RNAcentral lists this microRNA precursor (205 nucleotides) under Oryza glumipatula. RNAcentral's name for it is "MIR812 microRNA precursor family". It matches the Rfam family "MIR812 microRNA precursor family". Lineage: Eukaryota; Viridiplantae; Streptophyta; Magnoliopsida; Poales; Poaceae. The record is from Rfam by way of RNAcentral.